AAGUCGUAACAAGGUUUCCGUAGGUGAACCUGCGGAGGGAUCAUUACAGAGUUCAUGCCCUAACGGGUAGAUCUCCCACCCUGUGUUAUCAUACUUUGUUGCUUUGGCGGGCCGUUAGGCUCACGCCUGCCACCGGCUUCGGCUGGUGCGAGCCCGCCAGAGGACCCAAAACCCUGAAUAUUAGUGUCGUCUGAGUACCAUAUAAUAGUUAAAACUUUCAACAACGGAUCUCUUGGUUCUGGCAUCGAUGAAGAACGCAGCGAAAUGCGAUAAGUAAUGUGAAUUGCAGAAUUCAGUGAAUCAUCGAAUCUUUGAACGCACAUUGCGCCCCUUGGUAUUCCGGGGGGCAUGCCUGUUCGAGCGUCAUUACACCCCUCAAGCCUGGCUUGGUAUUGGGUUCCGCCGUUUACUCGGCGGGCCUUAAAAUCAGUGGCGGUGCCCCCGUGGCCCUGAGCGUAGUAAAUAUCCUCGCUUCUGGACCCGGUGGUUACUGGCCAGCAACCCCCAACUUUCUAAGUUUGACCUCGGAUCAGGUAGGGAUACCCGCUGAACUUAA
Molecule: ribosomal RNA, 556 nt
Filed under: uncultured fungus
Lineage: Eukaryota; Fungi
Description: eukaryotic LSU rRNA
Rfam family: 5.8S ribosomal RNA (bases 213-366)
Source: RNAcentral